UAGUCCACGCCGUAAACGAUGUCUACUAGCCGUUGGGGAACUUGAGUCCUUAGUGGCGCAGCUAACGCACUAAGUAGACCGCCUGGGGAGUACGGCCGCAAGGUUAAAACUCAAAUGAAUUGACGGGGCCCGCACAAGCGGUGGAGCAUGUGGUUUAAUUCGAUGCAACGCGAAGAACCUUACCAGGUCUUGACAUCCAGAGAACUUACUAGAGAUAGUUUGGUGCCUUCGGGAGCUCUGUGACAGGUGCUGCAUGGCUGUCGUCAGCUCGUGUCGUGAGAUGUUGGGUUAAGUCCCGUAACGAGCGCAACCCUUGUCCUUAGUUGCCAGCGCGUAAUGGCGGGAACUCUAAGGAGACUGCCGGUGACAAACCGGGAGGAAGGUGGGGACGACGUCAAGUCAUCAUGGGCCCUUACGACCUGGGGCUACACACGUGCUACAAUGGGAACGCACAAAGGGGCAGCUAACCUGCGAAGGGGGC
RNAcentral lists this ribosomal RNA (481 nucleotides) under uncultured bacterium. RNAcentral describes it as "bacterial SSU rRNA". It matches the Rfam family "Bacterial small subunit ribosomal RNA", at positions 791 to 1268 of the family's 1533-position model. The record is from RNAcentral.